Neurospora crassa OR74A is the source of this 156-nucleotide non-coding RNA. NCBI's taxonomy places the organism in Eukaryota, Fungi, Ascomycota, Sordariomycetes, Sordariales, Sordariaceae. The record is from the annotation of a RefSeq genome assembly.
GCGCAGUUGGCGUAGCGGUCAACGCGUUCACCACUCAGUGUACAGGCUGUCUGGGUUGAAAUCCCCGGCGAACCACUGUCAAAGACCGACUCUGGGGGGGCAUGGGCAUAUAUGAGCAAAUGGUGAAAGACCCAGGUUCGAUUCCUGGACUGCGCA